This 1273-nucleotide long non-coding RNA is filed under the name Sus scrofa (pig). RNAcentral describes it as "lncRNA (ENSSSCG00055030885.1, ENSSSCG00065057003.1, ENSSSCG00070001850.1)". The record is from RNAcentral. Lineage: Eukaryota; Metazoa; Chordata; Mammalia; Artiodactyla; Suidae.
GGACAGCCUGAAAGGACCCAGGUCGCAAGGAGCUGGCACCCUGGGAUCGAGGGAGUGAGAAUCGCUUGAUGUCACCUCACCUGGCACAGGGGCCAGCGCGGGUGACGGGGAGGGACCCUGAGGUGCGUCGUGGUCCUAGACUACCUGUCUACGGUGUCUCAGAGGGAAGCAGUUGGUCCGGCGGGGAGGGGACGCGGCGCCAGCAGCAGCUGCUCACGGAAGGGCUGGAAGGGGCCGCAGGCCGGACCUAGAGCAGCCACCAGAAUCGGAAAACAAGGGUGCUCUGCCCUGGAGCCUCCAGAGCCCAGCCCUGCACACACCUUGGUUUCAGGCCAGGAGACCGCCUGGGGCCUCGGAACGCCAGGGCUGCAGGAUGAAUCGGUGUUGUUUUAAGCCACUGGGCGCGUGCUCACUGUGUCAGCGGUGAUGGAAUACCAGGAAGCAUCAGCUGGAAGGUGGAGUGGGUGGCCGGCAGGACCUCCAGGCCUGGCCCAGAGCACCGACCCUCCUUCUGGCCAUAGGGAGCCAAGUAGGCCCGGGGCUCAGCUCUUCCCGGCAUCGCUGGGGUGGAGUCUCGGGGUGAGGGUGGGGCUUUGAUGGGGAGGAGGGCCUGGCGUGGUUAUCACCCCCAAUCCCACUUUUCCAACCCAGCCUCCGCCUCAAGCCCCAGUCAGGGGAACAGGGGCCAUGGCAGGAGCUUAAGGUCCAAGGGGCCCAGCGAGCUGUCCAUUAGUGCCAGCUGCGGGGAGACCGCCCAGGCAGCCGGACCCUUGACCUUCUCUGCUGGCAUAAUCCUGGAGAGCUUCUCGGCCUGACCAGAGGCAAGGAGGAAGCCUCGGUCCUGGACAGGGUUCUCGUACAGCGGAGAAGCCAGAGCAGACAGGUGUCUGGGGAGAUGACAAAGGAGACCUGUGGUGGGAGACUGCUGCUACGGCACCAGUCCCAGCAGUCAACGAUGGGGCCCAACAAGGCACAGGCCCCGCCGCGUGGGAGAGUCAAGAGACCACAGCAUUUGGGGCUGUCGUCGCCUCUGGUCAGCCGCCGCCACCGCCUGUGUCACUGGACAGCUGGGUUUAAGCACAGGGGAACCACAGCUCGGAAUCUCAGCACGGGUCUCAGCAGGCGAACGGUAGAAAGGGCUCUGGUUGGUGGAGGUCCCGUCAUGGCUCAGUGGUUAACAAACACGACUAGCAUCCGGGAGGGCGAGGGUUUGAUCCCCGGCUUCGCUCAGUGGGUUAAGGAUCUGGUGUUGCCGUGAGCUGUGGUGUAGGUU